RNAcentral lists this ribosomal RNA (480 nucleotides) under Agrococcus jenensis. RNAcentral describes it as "bacterial SSU rRNA". It matches the Rfam family "Bacterial small subunit ribosomal RNA", at positions 856 to 1334 of the family's 1533-position model. Lineage: Bacteria; Bacillati; Actinomycetota; Actinomycetes; Micrococcales; Microbacteriaceae. The record is from RNAcentral.
CGCAUUAAGUUCCCCGCCUGGGGAGUACGGCCGCAAGGCUAAAACUCAAAGGAAUUGACGGGGCCCCGCACAAGCGGCGGAGGCAUGCGGAUUAAUUCGAUGGCAACGCGAAGAACCUUACCAAGGCUUGACAUAUAGGAGAACGCGCUGGAGACAGCGAACUCUUUGGACACUCGUAUACAGGUGGUGCAUGGUUGUCGUCAGCUCGUGUCGUGAGAUGUUGGGUUAAGUCCCGCAACGAGCGCAACCCUCGUCCUAUGUUGCCAGCACGUCAUGGUGGGAACUCAUGGGAUACUGCCGGGGUCAACUCGGAGGAAGGUGGGGAUGAGGUCAAAUCAUCAUGCCCCUUAUGUCUUGGGCUUCACGCAUGCUACAAUGGCCGGUACAAUGGGCUGCGAUACCGCGAGGUGGAGCGAAUCCCAAAAAGCCGGUCUCAGUUCGGAUUGAGGUCUGCAACUCGACCUCAUGAAGUCGGAGUCG